Mastomys coucha (southern multimammate mouse) is the source of this 894-nucleotide long non-coding RNA. RefSeq lists it as uncharacterized. NCBI's taxonomy places the organism in Eukaryota, Metazoa, Chordata, Mammalia, Rodentia, Muridae. The record is from RefSeq and is a predicted model, not a curated record. The transcript is spliced from 6 exons.
AUUCCAUGCAAGAUGUGGUAGCUAAUUCUGGUUGUCAGCUUCACACACUUAGGAAGAGGGUCCCACAAUGAGGAGUUGCUUCCAUCAGACUGACCUGUUUGACUCUACUGUUUUGGAGCCUGAGGCAAGCCAAAGCUUUCUGCUAAGACCAAGGGCAAAGGGCAAACUAUUCAACUUAUAGUGGACAGGAAGCUAAAGAAGGUACUGGUGCAGCAGCAUCUUCCACAAAGACAGUCUCCCAGUGGCCUAACCAGCUCCCACUAAGCCACAGCUACCGAAGAUUCCAGCACCUGCCAAAAGACUCAAUUAGAGUAUCUUUUAUUGGCAUGCUAUUGGUUUGGAAAGACAGAAAGUGUGCCAAUAAUUAUCUGGCAAGGUGAAAAGGAGCCUACGAUGUAUGCAGAUUGGAUCCUGAGGGAAUAUGCUCAAACCUAUUUGAAAUAUUCCAGACACAAAAUGGAUUUGCCUUCAACUCACAAACAAGCACUUGCUUGUCUGGAUAUGAGAAUUUCAGAUGUCCCACAUAAUAUUUUGCAGUACCAAAUGGAGAGAAAAUGUAAAGACAUGAAGAAGGUUUCUUAGAGAGAAAGAUAAGAUACUGAGUGAAAGUUACAGAGGGAUCAAGCAAUUGUUUUCUAAGAAGUAAUUCUGGAAGAAAAAAAAUAAAAAGAUGAAAGAGAAAAGAAGAAUUGCACUUUGCCAUGUUCAGAGGAAAUGGAUUGUUUCAAGACUUUUAGAAGAACAAAAAUGCUUCAGCUGCCUUUCCACUUUAGCAAAAGAAGUUCUACUUUAACUUGGGGAAAGACAGGACCUGAAGUUAAGCUAAGAAAGUUCCUGAAACAUGCUGACUGAUGAUUCUCUCAUCUCAUUUCUCAUUAAAAACUGUUCUGAUGA